AGAGUUCGUAUUCUGUUUCUUAAUUGAUGGAGUAGCUAUCUCUCGGGGUGUCAAUUGGUUGUUAUAUCUCCACUAAUGAGCGGAGAGGGGUAAAACCUUCAAGUAAGUUAUGUGGGUCAAGGUAUAAUGAUUAAUUGGAGUUCUAGUUCAUUUACUUUGAGAAAAUUAGAGUGUUUAAAGCAGCCUCUUGGGGCACUGAAUACAUUAGCAUGGGAUAAUAAAAUAGGAUCUUCACAAUAUAUUUUAUUGGUUUAAAUUGCGUAUGAAGAUAAUGAUUAAUAGGGACAGUUGGGGGUAUUCAUAUUGGGUGGUUAGCGGUGAAAUGCUCGGAUCCAUUCAAGAUGAACUAAAGCGAAGGCAUUUACCAAGGAUGUUUUCAUUAAUCAAGAACGAAAAGUUAAGGGGAUCGAAGACGAUUAGAUACCGUCGUAGUCUUAACUAUAAACUAUGCCGACCAGGGAU
RNAcentral lists this ribosomal RNA (462 nucleotides) under uncultured eukaryote. RNAcentral's name for it is "bacterial SSU rRNA". It matches the Rfam family "Eukaryotic small subunit ribosomal RNA", at positions 623 to 1053 of the family's 1831-position model. The record is from RNAcentral.